ACUCAGCUUCAUGUAGUCGGUCAUCUUGACCUUGCUCCCUCCAGAUGAGCUAGGUUUUGGUACUUGGGUUUCUGGGACAGUAGGUGCUGCUGGUGGUGGAGGAGGUGCAACAUCCCCUGGGGUAGGGUUUGUUGUACCUGGGUAGAAAGAUGGGGGUGGGUACAUAGGGUACUGUGGGUAUGGUGGGUAGAAAGGUGGGUAUGGCAUGUGUGAGUGGUAAGGGCUAAAGCUGGGGUAAUCCGAUGUACCUCCCAUCGAAUACCUGGGAUUCUGUGAAAAGGGUAGGUACUGGGGUGGCUGAACAAAUCCC
This 310-nucleotide long non-coding RNA is filed under the name Manihot esculenta (cassava). Its description in RNAcentral is "long non-coding RNA (MESC_LNC004811)". Lineage: Eukaryota; Viridiplantae; Streptophyta; Magnoliopsida; Malpighiales; Euphorbiaceae. The record is from RNAcentral.